CAGGUUCUGUCUCUCUGCACUGAGACGCGGAGCCGACGUCAUCCGUCCCGGUUUGUAGCAGUCUGGGAAUCAUCUGCUCAUCGCAGCUAGUCUACUCUCUCUCUCUCUCUCUCUCUCAAUUAUAAACCAAACCGCAACAGGUUCAGAACGACAUUAGUGUUCCAGGUGGGAAUUAAGGAAUAACGUCGUUAAAAAGGAGGGAUUUGUCCUAAACUAAGAAGAUGAUGAAACGAGCAGCCCCCGAAGCUGCCGCUACCCUCCUUUGCAUUGAACGAUGUCUGUGAGUUACCCAGCUGAAUAGAGGAGCUUCCUGUAGCCGUUAGUGCAACCCGCUAGGAACGCAGGAGUCCUUAGGCUGAUGAUGUAGGACGGACGGAAGAAAUCCUGUGAUAUCCUUCAUCGAAGGAUAUCCUUCCCCCGGGAAGCACACGGUAGAGGAUGAAGGAGCAGGAAUCUCUGGAAGCAGGUGGGUGAUACUGUUGGUCAA
Long non-coding RNA from Salvelinus fontinalis (brook trout), 487 nucleotides. RefSeq lists it as uncharacterized. The record is from RefSeq and is a predicted model, not a curated record. NCBI's taxonomy places the organism in Eukaryota, Metazoa, Chordata, Actinopteri, Salmoniformes, Salmonidae. The transcript has 3 exons.